AAUGUUUUGAUCCAGUGUUGCAAAUCGACUUACCGUGGUGUCUUCACUACGGUGAGUUGACUGCUGUCGCUCCCUCGUCGACUCUGCUUGUGCUUCUCACUGAGCUAGAGUACAGGAGUUGACGGGAGAGCGCUCAAGGAUCGAGUUAUGAUGUCCAGAGUAGAUGUGAUAAAU
Chelonoidis abingdonii (Abingdon island giant tortoise) is the source of this 174-nucleotide non-coding RNA. The record is from RefSeq and is a predicted model, not a curated record. Lineage: Eukaryota; Metazoa; Chordata; Testudines; Testudinidae.